This is a long non-coding RNA of Piliocolobus tephrosceles (Ugandan red Colobus), 5519 nucleotides long. RefSeq lists it as uncharacterized. The record is from RefSeq and is a predicted model, not a curated record. The transcript has 2 exons. Lineage: Eukaryota; Metazoa; Chordata; Mammalia; Primates; Cercopithecidae.
CACAGUGUCACUGACCCAUAUCUUGUCUCUCCUGAAAAAACUAUAAUAACUUUGCUUUUUCAUGUAACAUUUAUGUUCUUUAUAGACUUAUGCUAAAUAGAUGAGUAGAACACACAUUAUUUCAGUAAUAGUUUAUUGCUACAGGCUUCUGUGGUAGCAUAAGCAGAAUUGAAUGUGUAGUAAAGAGUUGUAGGUACCAGUCCCAACCAGUUUUUACUUAGACAAGUCACUCUCCAAGCCUCAUUUUCUUCAAUUCAGUUAUAGAAAUAUUAUGUAACACACAGGAUUCAAAAUCAAAUGAGACUUGUGUGAAAGUACUUUUUAUAGUAUGAAGUGUUAUAUAAUGUUAGUGUCUAUUAUCAUCUUUAUCAGGCUUGGUCAGUCCAACUAGUAAUAAACCAUGUAACUAGUUUAUUACAUAUGUGGCUGAGAGAAAUUUAAUUGGAUAUAAAUACCAGUGUGAUAUGUCAUAAAAUAUGCUAAUCUGUAGCCCAUAUUUAAAUAGUUAUUUAUAGUAUACUGUAUAUGUCUGUAUUAUAAAUAGGCUUUUGAGGACAAAGAGUACAUCUCCUUAUUAAGCUUUAAGAGUUUCAGAGAGAGUGCAUAUAUAUGAAACAUUAUUUUUUCAUGUUGUCUAGGUGCAGUAGUGCACACCUGUGAGCCUAGCUACUUGGGAGGCUGAGGUGGGAGGAUUACCUGAGCCCAGGAAGUUGAGGCUGCAGUGAGCCAUGAUCAUGCUACUACACUUCAGCCUAGGUGACAGAGUGAGACUCUGUCUCAAGAAAAGGAAAAAAAAAAAAAAGUUUAGCCUCAGACUACGGUAAGGGGAGUGUCACUGUCAAAAAUAGUGGAGUUGAAAGGGAGCUGUUUAGAGAAGAUGUGCUUACUUUUGCAUGUGUUUGGGCAGGCAUGUAUAGACGUGGUGUCCUAUAGAAAGAGGAAAGAGAAGACAGUAUCUAAUUUCUACAUUCAUUCAAUAACUGUCUAGUGUCCUGACUAUGAUGUAGGAGAAAUAAAGAUGAAUAUAACUCCCACCUUGUUCUUGAAGACCCUAUAAUCUGGUGGGAGAAGAAGAAUAUAAGCCAGAUUGAAAUAAAUAACUGUGAUAAAACACACAGGCUAAGAAUGUGCAUGGGAAGAAGUGAUUAACACACUAGUUGUGAAGUACAAAGGGUUUUAUGGAGGACUGAAUAUUUUAACUGUGGCUUGAAGAUUGAGUACAAUUUUGAUAGAGAAGGAAAGAGCAUGUAACUGAAGAAAAAACACAAAAGUAUAUUGUAUGACUUGGGAAAAUAAAGUAGUCUAGAGUGGCUCUAUUAAUAGGGUUUGUAAAGAGGUGUAGUGGUAUAUAAUGCAAGAAAAGUAGGUUAGGGCAAAAAGAAAACAGAUCAGUGCCUGAUAUGAAUUACACACUGGGCCAAAAGUUUUCAUAUUUGCUAUUUCAUUUAAUUUCCAUAUAGCCAUGCAAAAUAGGUAUUUUGACACGGGGGGAAAACAGUCUCAGAGAGUUUUACUAAUUUGUUCAAAGUCUCACGCAUAAUAAGUAAUGGAGCUGAAAUUUCAAACCAGGUUGUUAUUUAACUCCAAAGCUGAAGCUAUUUGUAAUUUGGUAACUUAUCUCUAAAUUAAAAAAAAAAAAAAAAGGAAAAAAGGUUAUAUUCAUUAUAGGACUUUAAAAUAUAAAGUACUUUCACACCUGUUUGGUUUUUAUAACUAGUCAUUAAUCCCAGUUGAUGGAUGGGAAAAUUGAAGCCCAGGGAGAUUAUUCAAGGUCACGGAGUGAAUAAGUGGCAGAUUGGAAAUGCAACCCAAGCUUUCUGACUGCAAAGUCUCAAGCCUUUCCAACAUCCUUUUAAGAAGUCUGGAGAUCAUUUUGUAAGCAGUGGAAAGAGUUAGUGAACAUUUUUGAGAAGGGGAUGGCAUAAACAAUAAUGUUUAAAAAGAUUAGUUUGAGUUCACAUAGAAGAUGGUCUGGAAUGCACAGAGACAAGAACAUUAAUUAUUAAGCUAUUGUAAAAACACAGUAAUGAUGUAGACCUGAACAAAGAAAGUUUGGUGAUAAUAACAUAGAAGAAACAAAUUAGAGGCAUUUGGAAACAGAAUUUACAGGAUUUAGCUUUUGACUGCAUCUACCGUGAGAUAGGAGGACCAUGCCUAAAUAAUAAUGGAGGUGGGGACAAUGAUAGCUAAGAAGAGGUAGAUUUGGAUGGAGAGAAAUAGCCAUCCAAAUGGAUGUAUCCUGUGAGAGCUGGACAGUGGAGAUGUGGGAUCAUAUAGUAGGGCUAUGUAACAAGUCCCUCUAUAGUAGGGUUUGUUUAAGCUAGACUGUAAGUACACAGAGCCAGUGAGGGUCUGGUUUAUUUCUGCAUCCCCAGAGCCAGGAUAGUUCUUGGCACUCAGUAAAUAUUUGUUAACUUUGAAACUGGAUGAAGAUCUUUAAGGAUGGUAGAAUUUUUUGAAAAAUGUUCAAAGACAGAAAGCAAAAAGAAGAAAAUAUUUGAGGAAAGAUUUGAUAGAAACCAAGAAGCAUUAUGUAAAGGAAGUUGUGGGGAGAGAGUUACAAGAGUGUGAGAUGCCACACAGAGGCACUGUUGGAAGGGGAUCAAAGAUAGUGUUGCUGAAGUAAAAGUUCAGGAAGAGAGAUCGGAAGUCAACAUGCAAAGAACUGAAGAGGAAUGAGGGGGAGAACUGGAACCAGGCAGCAGAGAGUACUUUUUCAAAAAGUUUGGUGGUAAAGGAAAAGGGAGCAAUGAGAAAACACCUUAAGGAAGAAACAGGGUCAAGGAGGAAUUGCAAAGGCAUGUGUAGCUCAAGGGAAAGGAGCCAGAGAAGAGAGGUAAAUUGAAAAUACAAACAAAAUGAAGCUCAAGGAAAUGGAGGAGGAUGAGAUUGAAAAGACACAGAUGGAGUGAUCAGGAUUCGAUAUACAGAUCUGAGCAUGUUUCACAGAAAGGACAAGUUGAAGCCAAAUUUUAGGUGAGUGAUUAUAAACAGUGAUUGCAGAGGGAGAAGAGCAGAAGACUAAGGAAAUCUUUAGAGAAUGACCACAGGCAAGGGCAAAGGAGGGGUCGAAGAAACAGCAAUAGAAGUUGUGUAAAUUCACUGUCACAAAAACAGAUACACAACCAACCAAGUUUGAGAAAAAGCAACAAAUAGGCCAAAGUGUCAGGUGUUGUAGAAGAGAAUGAGAACUGGGAAUAAAUGGUAUAUAUCCAGUGAUAUUUGUACAAGCAGUUCAUGAACAAAACUUAGAACUCUUUUUUUUGGUCUAUUCAGUUAAAGCUGAUACAUUCCCAUGCAACUAAUUCAGAUUUUGAGGUGAAUAACAAAUUUCUUUAUCUAUAGAUAAGUUUAAAUUGUGAUGCCAUUUUUCUUUCAAAUGGUGUGAAUGUUGAAUCUAAUUCAGUCCUGUUAAUUUUCUUUAAAAAGCAUUUGAAGCAGAUGGAACUAGAAAGCCUACUUCUGUAAAUUCCAUUUACUCAUUCAUGCAUUGCUUUCAUUCAAGAAAUGUUUAUUGGUGUCUACCAUAUACUUUGCUAGUUACUGGAGUCAUGAGGGGAUAUGGCAAUAAACAAGAAAGACAAUGUUUAUUGCCUGAAAAAGUAAUACCGAAAGAAGAAAAACUUUGCUAUAUUGUUGCUAAUAGAAAAAAAUUAAUUUAACUUUUAAAAACAAUUGAAACAAUGAUUAAUUACAGUAAAUCUAUUUGAAUAACUUACGUAGGCCUGAAAAGACUUAUGAAAAUUAUAUAUGAAUAUGGUAAUUUUCCUCUAAUAUUAAAACAAAAUGCAACAUUGUUAUGAGAACAACGUGAAAAUACGUACAUGGAGAAAGGCUCAAUAGAAAUGCAAAUGUGUGUGCUAAAAUAAAGAAGUUAUUGGUGGUUUUACUUUUGAUUUUCCCUUAAAUUUUUUUAAAUUUUAAAUUAUUCUUUUUAAAAAUGUCUUCUACUAAUCUUAAAACAUUAGUAAGUAGUGAGAAAUAUUAUUUCUACUGAUUUAUGAAUACAUCCAUUCUUCACAUUCACAGUGGGAUUUGUAAAAGCAAUCCUUGGAUUUAAAACCUUUUUUUUUUUUUUAGCAAACAAAGCUCUCAAGUUGGUGAUCCUCAGGUAAAAUGUAACCCACAGAUACUGCACCAGUUAUUUAUUGCCACAAAAAUGCUGCCUAAGAAGCCACCCAAAGGGCAGUAGGUUAAAACAAUAACUGUACCUUUUUUCUUAGGCGUCUCUGCAUUAGUUGGACAGCUCCUCUGGAAUUAUCUUCUAAGUCAGCUGUGGGUUGGGUAGGUGGCUCUGCUGAUUUUUCGCUGGACUUCCACAUUUGGGACCAGUUGGCUUUCAUCAGCUCUAGAAAGGGUGUGGCUGUUUUACAUUGGCUGUUUUCCUCACAUUCCUCCAGCAGGUACUGUAAUAAAGAACUGGAGAAAUAAAGUCAGAUGGGAAGUUGCCCCUACUAUCAAGGAGCUUGCCAUCUAAUGGGGGAGACAGGCAAGUAAACCAAAGACUACACAGUACAGUAUGGUAAGUGCCAUGAUUUUGAUAUGACAGGCCCUAAGGGCACAGUGGAAGACCUUCCAAAUCAAAGCAAGUAAGUAUGGGUUGACAAUGGUAAGUAUCAUAGUGGAAGUAUCCUUGAACAAGGUUUCAGGAAGAAGAAGAGGGGAAUUUUCAUGCAGGGAAGCAACCAAAGUUCAGUGAGUCAAAAUAUAGCAUUCUUGGUAAGCCCAAUUUUUUUUUCUAUUUUGCUAUUUUGGUGGAGAGAAAGGAAUACAUAAAAGAAUAACAUGAGAGAAAGCUAUUUGGGGAAUGUAGUAGUUAAGGUUCUGGUUGCAAACAACAACUCCAGCUAGUUAAGCUGACUUUAGUGGAAGGAUACUGGGGUAUCUCAUGGGAUCCUGGGAACUGUUGAAUAACCAGGGAAACUCUGGGGAACUCACUGGUAGGAAUCCAUAAACUGUCUUCCUGGUGGGCUGUAAACAACUCACCCUCUAUGCAUCUCACAUCAAAAUUCCAGUUUCUUGGGAAAACAAGUCUGUUUGCCCAAUUUGGGUCAUAUUUCCACCUCCAUGUUACGCAGGCAUGACUCAUCUGCAAGUUAUGUGUAUAGAUAUUUUGCUACUCUUCCACCCUUAUGCUAUGUGGGGGGGGCGAGGUGUCACUGUGAGCUGUGUGGCUGCCUUAAGAGAUAUCUGUUGUGUCUUAUUACUUGGUUGCCUUUCCCCACAUGUACAAUGACAAAAACGCCUUCAACCUAUUCGAUCCAGCCAUUCCAGUACAACUGCUAUACUUGCCAUCUUUCUAAGCCCAAAGGCACAUCCAGCUGAUGGAAGGAGCAUCUUGGGUUUAAUAUUCUUUUAGUCAUGAUAUCUGAAAGUAAAAUGUCUAUUUUUCUAAUUCUGGCACAGUCUUAUCUAGCUAUAGUUCCUCAUGGUCCUGCACUCCAUGGACUAAAUUGUAAGUAUAAUUACUACCAAUGCACUCUAUAAAUAACUGUUGGGGCCAGGGUGGCAAUAGUUGC